AUGACCGAUAGCGGAAUAGUACCGUGAGGGAAUGGUGAAAAGUACCCCGGGAGGGGAGUGAAAUAGUUCCUGAAACCAUGUGCUUACAAUCCGUCAGAGCACCUUUGUGUGUGUGAUGGCGUGCCUUUUGAAGAAUGAGCCUGCGAGUCAGCGGCAUGUCGCGAGGUUAACCCGUGUGGGGUAGUCGUAGCGAAAGCGAAUCCUAAUUGGGUGUUGUAAGU
RNAcentral lists this ribosomal RNA (221 nucleotides) under Chrysotila carterae. RNAcentral's name for it is "partial Bacterial large subunit ribosomal RNA". It matches the Rfam family "Bacterial large subunit ribosomal RNA", at positions 480 to 700 of the family's 2925-position model. Lineage: Eukaryota; Haptophyta; Isochrysidales; Isochrysidaceae. The record is from RNAcentral.